RNAcentral lists this ribosomal RNA (397 nucleotides) under uncultured bacterium. RNAcentral describes it as "partial 16S ribosomal RNA". It matches the Rfam family "Bacterial small subunit ribosomal RNA", at positions 523 to 918 of the family's 1533-position model. The record is from RNAcentral.
AUACGUAGGGGGCGAGCGUUGUCCGGAAUGAUUGGGCGUAAAGGGCGCGUAGGCGGCGCGGUAAGUCUGGAGUGAAAGUCCUGCGUUCAAGGGGGGAAUUGCUUUGGAUACUGCCGCGCUUGAGUGCAGGAGAGGUUAUCGGAAUUCCCGGUGUAGCGGUGAAAUGCGUAGAGAUCGGGAGGAACACCAGUGGCGAAGGCGGGUAACUGGACUGCAACUGACGCUGAGGCGCGAAAGUGUGGGGAGCAAACAGGAUUAGAUACCCUGGUAGUCCACACUGUAAACGAUGAAUGCUAGGUGUAAGAGGUAUCGACCCCUUUUGUGCCGGAGUCAACACAAUAAGCAUUCCGCCUGGGGAGUACGGCCGCAAGGUUGAAACUCAAAUGAAUUGGCGGGG